AACAGCUCACUGGUCGAGGGUUUGAGCACGGAAAAUAAUCGGGCAUCAAACAUACAACCGAAGCUUUAGGAUUGCUGGCGAUGUCAGUAAUCGGUAGGGGAGCAUUCUAAACUGCAUUGAAGGUGUAUCGCGAGAUAUGCUGGAGCGUUUAGAAAAGAAAAUGUAGGCAUAAGUAACGAUAAAAUAGGUGAAAAACCUAUUCGCCGUAAGACUAAGGGUUCCUGAUCAACGCUAAUCGGAUCAGGGUUAGUCGGGUCCUUAGGCAAAGCCGAGAGGCGCAGCUGAUGGCAAACUGGUGAAUAUUCCAGUACCUGCUAAAAUUUCGAUGGGGUAACGGAGUAGUGAACAGACCGCGCACUUACGGAAUAGUGCGUUAAAGGGUGUAGUUAUAUUGACUGUAGGCAAAUCCGCAGUUGAUGAUGAACCUGAUAGUACAGUAAAGCUUCGGCCGCACUGAUAGUGUCUCUAAACAGACUUCCAAGAAAAACCUCUAAGGUUAGGUUUUAGCAGCCCGUACCGCAAACCGACACAGGUAGUCGAGGAGAGUAUCCUCAGGCGCUCGAGUGAUCCGUGGUAAAGGAACUAGGCAAAUUGACG
Molecule: ribosomal RNA, 597 nt
Filed under: Chitinophaga tropicalis
Lineage: Bacteria; Pseudomonadati; Bacteroidota; Chitinophagia; Chitinophagales; Chitinophagaceae
Description: Bacterial large subunit ribosomal RNA
Rfam family: Bacterial large subunit ribosomal RNA
Source: Rfam by way of RNAcentral